UACGUGGGUGUGAAGGAAGGACUUCCUCCCUCUCUGACACUUUCUAUGCCGAGGGGGCCUUUCUCAGGCUGCCUUCCUUCCUUCAACCCAGCAGGCAGCCGCUCUGAGACUUGAGAUGCAGAUGCCCAGCACAAGGCCUGGUGCCCAGCAGCAGUACGAAUAGAACCACGCAAAUCCAGUCCUCAGCACCUCGUGUACUCCCCUAGUCCCUCCUGGAAGAAUACAGCACCUUCUCAGGCUUAUACUCUGCAGAAUUUUUACUUUUUCAGAACAAGAGUGGCCUCGGAGUGGACGGUGCAGUUGAGAAAACCAACCCGGAAUAGAAAAUCUCCCACGUCAGUCCAGCAUGGGUGUGAGAGUUGGCCAAGGUGGAAGGCUGUGCAGAGCAUGACAAACAAACGGGUCACACCCAGCAUGCACCUUCGUGAUCUAGCUUGGUCAAAGACUUCUGAAGGCCUAGAAGUGGCAAGGAAGUCCCACUGGCUUAUGCUCCACCACAGCCCCCUAAAGCCACCUCCCCUGUCUGCCGUGGAUGUGGCUGUGAGAGUAGCCAGGCAGGCAGGCAAGACCCAUGAGCCACAGAACACCCAGAGAAGACAGAAGACGGCCUCUCCAGGAAGAGGAGUGUAUUGUGCCUCUAAAUUCCAAGAACUGGAGAAGGGAGAGACAAUAAGCAUCUUUAUUAUCCAAAUUCUAGGGGAAAUGGCUCUGCAUAACAGCAGAACCUACUAGCUGCCAGGGUGGAUGAGAAGUCACUCCGGAGGGUGGCCUCCAUGCUGGAUCUGCACAAGGGCUCUGAGAGUCUGGCGCCUGGUGGAUGUCGGGCUGAGUCCAGUCUGCAGGGAAGACAGCUGGCUGGUCCUGGAGCUCCCAGGAGGAGGCCUGGCCACAGGUGCCCCCUGUAUACAAUUGUGAAGGGAAAGCCUUCCUCCCAGGUAUGAAAAUGACCAAGUGUCCCCGGCUUCAUCGGGGCAAGCAGCCGGCCACAGGGUCCGGCCGGGGAGGCACUGGCACAAAGUUCAUGGGGCAGAGCAGCAGCGGGCACAUCUUCUCGUGCUCCUUCAGUGCCUCUGUCAGGUGCUUCAGCUCCUCCGUCAGCUUCCCGAUCUCUCUCCGCAGCAUGGUGUUUUCUUGCUCCAGGCACUCAUAUUCCUGGGGGAGACAGAAGGGGCAAAAUCAUUUCUGAUGCGGUGUUCUCUUCCUCCGUCCUCCUGUGCCGCGCUGCUCGCCUCUUGCCCAUGAAAGCUGUCUUAUUACGCAUGUCCCCUCCACCGCUCAGAUAUGCAGAUAUUUGUCUAUUUGAUGAGUGUCUCUCCCCUCCCACUGGGAGAAACAAUUUAUUGAGGUAUAACUUACAUAAAAUAAAAUGUAUCUAUUUUAA
Symphalangus syndactylus (siamang) is the source of this 1381-nucleotide long non-coding RNA. RefSeq lists it as uncharacterized. The record is from RefSeq and is a predicted model, not a curated record. Lineage: Eukaryota; Metazoa; Chordata; Mammalia; Primates; Hylobatidae.